Molecule: long non-coding RNA, 144 nt
Organism: Orbicella faveolata
Lineage: Eukaryota; Metazoa; Cnidaria; Anthozoa; Scleractinia; Merulinidae
Source: RefSeq, a predicted model, not a curated record
UGAUCACGUGUCCAGAAGCAUGAUGCCUUCGAAAAUAUGGCGGAGUUGUUUCUUGAAGAAAGAAUGAAACACAUCAAACUGAAAGGAGCCUAGAUUUUCAAGACAGGACAUGAUAAUAUCAACAUGGAAACUAUGAUUGGCAGG